GGGGAAUCUUAGACAAUGGGGGCAACCCUGAUCUAGCCAUGCCGCGUGAGUGAUGAAGGCCUUAGGGUUGUAAAGCUCUUUCAGCUGGGAAGAUAAUGACGGUACCAGCAGAAGAAGCCCCGGCUAACCCCGUGCCAGCAGCCGCGGUAAUACGGAGGGGGCUAGCGUUGUUCGGAAUUACUGGGCGUAAAGCGCACGUAGGCGGACCAGAAAGUUGGGGGUGAAAUCCCGGGGCUCAACCUCGGAACUGCCUUCAAAACUAUUGGUCUUGAGUUCGAGAGAGGUGAGUGGAAUUCCGAGUGUAGAGGUGAAAUUCGUAGAUAUUCGGAGGAACACCAGUGGCGAAGGCGGCUCACUGGCUCGAUACUGACGCUGAGGUGCGAAAGCGUGGGGAGCAAAC
Molecule: ribosomal RNA, 400 nt
Filed under: uncultured bacterium
Lineage: Bacteria
Description: bacterial SSU rRNA
Rfam family: Bacterial small subunit ribosomal RNA
Source: RNAcentral